This 251-nucleotide unclassified non-coding RNA is filed under the name uncultured Lactarius. Its description in RNAcentral is "sequence contains ITS2". Lineage: Eukaryota; Fungi; Basidiomycota; Agaricomycetes; Russulales; Russulaceae. The record is from RNAcentral.
AAUCUCAACCUUCUCGGUUUCUUCUGGAUACCGAAGGAGGCUUGGACUUUGGAGGCCUUUGCUGGCUCUUUCGAGAGCCGGCUCCUCUCAAAUGUAUUAGCGGGGUCCUCUUUGCCGAUCCUUGACGUGUGAUAAGAUGUUUCCAUGUCUCGGUUCCUGGCUCUGUUGCUUUUGGGAUCCGCUUCUAAUCGUCUUCGAGACAACGUUUGAGCGGGUCUCCCUUCUGGGGAAACCCUCUCGACCUCACGAAC